Vidua chalybeata is the source of this 535-nucleotide long non-coding RNA. RefSeq lists it as uncharacterized. The transcript is spliced from 3 exons. The record is from RefSeq and is a predicted model, not a curated record. NCBI's taxonomy places the organism in Eukaryota, Metazoa, Chordata, Aves, Passeriformes, Viduidae.
UUGGGGAGAAGGGGCCUCUUGUUUCCCCUCAGCUUUAGCUGCUGCUCCCAGUCUGCCACUUUAUGGUUCUGCUGUGUGUUGGCCCUCCUGUGGGCAGGAGCCCUUCCUGCACUCCCCCUGCACACCUGUACUUGUGUUGCACAUGCUGCCGUGCCCUGCUGAGGGGUCCCACUGCUCCUGGGCACUCACGCUUCCCCAGAAGUGUUUAAACCUGCUGCAGUUUCUCUGGCAAUGCCCUCACCUAGUCAAACAAGGGCUGCUGGAUCCUGGCAGCAUGUGUAAAUCUCCUGUGGUCACCACUGGCAACACCCAUCACCACUUCAACAUUAUGAACCAUACAGGUGCUAAGUACAUACAGAAAACCAAAGACUGCUUCGUUUGAAGAUGAUGGGACAAUCAUGCCUAUGUGCCAGAAAAAGCCAUGCCAAGCAGGAGCUGCAGCUGCUGCACAGAAAGUCUACAAAUGGUAACACAGCUCUGAGUAUUUCACACAGUAUCAUUGCUUCACUGAGAUUUCUGAACAGAAUGUAGACAA